AGGGACAGUGGGGACAUGGGGAGGGGACAGUUUGGGAUGGGGACAUGGGAUGGGGACAAGGGACAGGAUGGGAACAGGAUGGGGAGGUGGGGACAAGGGACAGUGUGGGGGCAUGGGGAGGGGACAGUUUGGGAUGGGGACAUGGGAUGUGGGGACAGGAGAUGUGGGAUGGGGACAAGGGACGGGAUGGGAAUGGGAUGGGGAGAUGGGAACUGGGGACAAGGGACAGUGGGGACAUGGGGAGGGGACAGGAGGGGGACAAGGGACAAUGGGAUGGGGACAAGGGGCAGCGUGGGGACAUGGGAGGGGACAGUUUGGGAUGGGGACAUGGGAUGUGGGGACAGGGGACGUGGGAUGGGGACAAGGGACAGGAUGGGAAUGGGAUGGGGAGAUGGGAACUGGGGACAGUGGGGACAUGGGGAGGGGACAGGAGGGGGACAAGGGACAAUGGGAUGGGGACAAGGGACGGGAAUGGGGUGGGGGCAGCGUGGGAAGGGGGGGGCCCGUACUGGUGGCGUGGUUGGGGACGGUGACGGAGAUGGCGGCGGGGUCACGGCUGAGGCUGUUGGCGAUCAUCCGGCCGGCGGCUGCGGGAGUAAUUAGCAGGAGGUUCGUUAAUUAGGGCUCGGUGUCGGGAGGGAUGGGGA
Molecule: long non-coding RNA, 647 nt
Filed under: Numida meleagris (helmeted guineafowl)
Lineage: Eukaryota; Metazoa; Chordata; Aves; Galliformes; Numididae
Description: lncRNA (ENSNMEG00000001113.1)
Source: RNAcentral